RNAcentral lists this ribosomal RNA (489 nucleotides) under uncultured bacterium. RNAcentral's name for it is "partial 16S ribosomal RNA". It matches the Rfam family "Bacterial small subunit ribosomal RNA", at positions 28 to 507 of the family's 1533-position model. The record is from RNAcentral.
GAUGAACGCUAGCGGCAGGCUUAAUACAUGCAAGUCGAGGGGCAGCAGGACUGUAGCAAUACAGUUGCUGGCGACCGGCAAACGGGUGCGGAACACGUACGCAACCUACCCAAAACUGGGGGAUAGCCCGGGGAAACCCGGAUUAAUACCUCGUAACCUUUUUAAGUGGCAUCACUUGAUAAGUAUAGCUCCGGCGGUUUUGGAUGGGCGUGCGCCUGAUUAGGUAGUUGGUGCGGGUAACGGCCCACCAAGCCUGCGAUCAGUAACUGGUGUGAGAGCACGACCGGUGACACGUGCACUUGGUCAGGAGACCGACUACAGCGGGAGGCAGCAGUGAGGAAUAUUGAGCAAUGGUCGCAAGUCUGAACCACCCAGGACGCGUGAAGGAAGAAAGUCAUCUGGGUUGUAAACUGCUUUUAUGGGGGACGAAACCCGGAUAGUCUUAUGCGAUUGACGGUACCUCAGGAAUAAGCAGCGGCUAACUCCGUG